Molecule: ribosomal RNA, 497 nt
Filed under: uncultured bacterium
Lineage: Bacteria
Description: partial 16S ribosomal RNA
Rfam family: Bacterial small subunit ribosomal RNA
Source: RNAcentral
GAUGAACGCUGGCGGCGUGCCUAAUACAUGCAAGUCGAGCGAACAGAUGAGGAGCUUGCUCCUCUGACGUUAGCGGCGGACGGGUGAGUAACACGUGUAUAACCUACCUAUAAGACUGGGAUAACUUCGGGAAACCGGAGCUAAUACCGGAUAAUAUAUUGAACCGCAUUGUUCAAUAGUGAAAUACGGUUUUGCUGUCACUUAUAGAUGGAUCCCGGCCGGAUUAGCUAGUUGGUAAGUUAACGGCUUACCAAGGCAACGAUGCGUUGCCGACCUGAGAGGGGGGUCGGCGACCCUAGAACUGGACCACGGACAAGGGUACUAAGGGACGGCGCAGUAGGGAAUCGUCCGCAACGGGGGGGAACCUGGCGGAGCAACGGGGCGUGAGAUAUGGAAGUCUUGCGAUCGUAAAACUCUCUUACUAGGGGAAAACCAAUGUGGCAGUUACUAUGCAGGUCUUGACGGUAACUAAUCAGAAAGCCACGGCUAACUACGUG